AUUCCUUGAUGAGGACAGGCGGCCACGUACUCCUGCAGUCGUUCCCACGCCUCGGGAAUAGACUUGUCUCUCGUCUGCUGGAAACUUGAAAUUUUGCCGCGUAGGGC
RNAcentral lists this small nucleolar RNA (107 nucleotides) under Oryza sativa Indica Group (long-grained rice). Its description in RNAcentral is "Plant small nucleolar RNA R71". It matches the Rfam family "Plant small nucleolar RNA R71". From Rfam's summary of the family: R71 is a member of the C/D box family of snoRNAs containing the C (UGAUGA) and D (CUGA) box motifs. Multiple nearly identical copies of this snoRNA have been identified in Arabidopsis, and it is thought to function as a 2'-O-ribose methylation guide for 18S ribosomal RNA. Lineage: Eukaryota; Viridiplantae; Streptophyta; Magnoliopsida; Poales; Poaceae. The record is from Rfam by way of RNAcentral.